RNAcentral lists this ribosomal RNA (301 nucleotides) under uncultured bacterium. Its description in RNAcentral is "partial 16S ribosomal RNA". It matches the Rfam family "Bacterial small subunit ribosomal RNA", at positions 509 to 809 of the family's 1533-position model. The record is from RNAcentral.
CAGUCGCCGCGGGAAUACGAAGGGGGCUAGCGUUGUUCGGAAUUACUGGGCGUAAAGCGCACGUAGGCGGAUAUUUAAGUCAGGGGUGAAAUCCCAGAGCUCAACUCUGGAACUGCCUUUGAUACUGGGUAUCUUGAGUAUGGAAGAGGUGAGUGGAAUUCCGAGUGUAGAGGUGAAAUUCGUAGAUAUUCGGAGGAACACCAGUGGCGAAGGCGGCUCACUGGUCCAUUACUGACGCUGAGGUGCGAAAGCGUGGGAAGUAAACAGGAUUAGAUACCCGUGUAGUCCCUGUCUCUUAUAA